GGAAGACCCGGUAUUGGUGCUACUCACUCAUCAAGGUUCAUUCCUCUGAAGUAAUAUGGGAUGUUAGGUUAUCUCGUGCUGUCUUUUGCUACAAUUUUGAUGUAGGUCUUCGAUUAUGAAAAAUUAAGUUUGGAAUAGGUGUGGUCAGCUGAUAAAUAUCAUUUUUAUUUGUUUCUGUCACAACAUUGUUGUCUCUUAGACUUAAUUCUUUUUAAAUGCUCAAUUUAAGAGGGCAUUUUGAUGCUCACAAGCCUUUAGUGCUCAAGUUCUCUCCUGUUUUUAUAGCACUUUCAAGUAUUUUCCUGAUUUCUUAAACAUUUG
RNAcentral lists this unclassified non-coding RNA (321 nucleotides) under Hevea brasiliensis (rubber tree). Lineage: Eukaryota; Viridiplantae; Streptophyta; Magnoliopsida; Malpighiales; Euphorbiaceae. The record is from RNAcentral.